GCUCAGUAACACGUGGAGAACGUGCCCUUAGGAGGAGGAUAAUCUCGGGAAAUUGAGGAUAAUACUCCAUAGGUCACGGGGUCUGGAACGACCCGUGGCCGAAAGCCCCGGCGCCUAAGGAUCGCUCUGCGGCUUAUCAGGUCGUAGUGGGUGUAACGUACCCCCUAGCCGACGACGAGUAUGGGCCUUGAGAGAGGGAGCCCAGAGUUGGAUUCUGAGACACGAAUCCAGGCCCUACGGGGCGCAGCAGUCGCGAAAACUUCACACUGGGGGCAACCCCGAUGAGGGAAUUCCUAGUGCCAGGGCCUCUGGUCCUGGCUUUUCUCCGGCGUAGACGACCGGAGGAAUAAGGGCUGGGUAAGACGGGUGCCAGCCGCCGCGGUAAUACCUGCAGCCCGAGUGGUGGUCGAUUUUAUUGGGUCUAAAACGUUCGUAGCCGGCCCGGUAAAUCCCUGGGUAAAUCGGGAAGCUCAACUUCCCGAAUUCCGGGGAGACUGCCGGGCUUGGGACCGGGAGAGGCUAGAGGUACUUCUGGGGUAGGGGUAAAAUCCUGUAAUCCUAGAAGGACCACCGGUGGCGAAGGCGUCUAGCUAGAACGGAUCCGACGGUGAGGGACGAAGCCCUGGGUCGCAAACGGGAUUAGAUACCCCGGUAGUCCAGGGUGUAAACGCUGCAGACUUGGUGUUGGAGGCAAUUCGGUUGCAUUCAGUGCCGGGGAGAAGUUGUUAAGUCUGCUACUUGGGGAGUACGUCCGCAAGGAUGAAAACUUAAAAGGAAUUGGCGGGGGAGCAC
Molecule: ribosomal RNA, 792 nt
Filed under: uncultured archaeon
Lineage: Archaea
Description: bacterial SSU rRNA
Rfam family: Archaeal small subunit ribosomal RNA
Source: RNAcentral